AGUCGUCUUAACAUCGUCAUGUAAAUACGUGUCAUCAAAGAUUACUCAAAAAUUGCUCAUUAUAUCUCAAUCAUAUUUAAAACAGACGACAUGACAAGUAUUAGCUUUUGAUUUAUACAAAAAAGAUCAAAAUCAGUGCACCCAGUAAAAAGAUAUAACGUAUAAUACAACGUAAGGUGACGAAAAUAAUGUCAAGUAAAUACGCGUUAUCAAAGAUUAAUCAAAAAGUAGUUAUCAGAUCUCGAUAAAAUUUAUAUGUGACCACAUGAUAAACAUCAGCUUUCGAUUAAAGUAAAAAUUAUCAAAAUCGAUACACCCAAUAAAAAGUUAUUGCGGAUUUUCAAGAGUUUCUCUCGAUUUCUCUGGGAUCCCAUCAUCAGAUCCUGGUUUCCUUAUCAUGGUACCAAACUAGGGAUAUCCCCUUUCCAACAAAAAAAGAAUUAUCAAAAUCGGUACACCCAGUAGAAAGUUAUGUGGUAUAAUACAACGUAGGUCGACGAAAAAAGCGUCAAGUAAAAACGCAUUAUUAGAUAUAAUUCGAAAAGUAGUUGUUAGAUCUCAAAUAAAUUUAAAUGGGACCAAUCGGCACACACCACCUUUCGAUUAAAACAAAAUUUGUCGAAAUCGGUCUACCUGGUCAAAAGUUCUGAUGUAACAUACAU
RNAcentral lists this unclassified non-coding RNA (662 nucleotides) under Melitaea cinxia (Glanville fritillary). Its description in RNAcentral is "misc RNA ENSMCXG00005000769.1". Lineage: Eukaryota; Metazoa; Arthropoda; Insecta; Lepidoptera; Nymphalidae. The record is from RNAcentral.